AUACGGAGGAUGCGAGCGUUAUCCGGAUUUAUUAGGUUUGAAGGGUGUGUAGGCGGUAUUUUAAGUCAGUGGUGAAAUCUUUCAGCUUAACUGAGAAACUGCCAUUGAUACUGGAAUACUUGAGUAUAGUUGAGGUAGGCGGAAUAUGUAAUGUAGCGGUGAAAUGCAUAGAUAUUACAUAGAACACCGAUUGCGAAGGCAGCUUACUAAACUAUUACUGACGCUGAUGCACGAAAGCGUGGGGAGCGAACAGGAUUAGAAACCCUAGUAGUCC
RNAcentral lists this ribosomal RNA (274 nucleotides) under uncultured bacterium. Its description in RNAcentral is "partial 16S ribosomal RNA". It matches the Rfam family "Bacterial small subunit ribosomal RNA", at positions 523 to 796 of the family's 1533-position model. The record is from RNAcentral.